RNAcentral lists this ribosomal RNA (399 nucleotides) under uncultured bacterium. Its description in RNAcentral is "partial 16S ribosomal RNA". It matches the Rfam family "Bacterial small subunit ribosomal RNA", at positions 360 to 774 of the family's 1533-position model. The record is from RNAcentral.
AAUAUUUCGCAAUGGGGGGAACCCUGACGCAGCGAGGCCGCGUGAGCGAUGAAGGCCUUCGGGUCGUAAAGCUCUGUCCUCAGGGAAGAAUAAAUGACGGUACCCAAUGAGGAAGCUCCGGCUAACUACGUGCCAGCAGCCGCGGUAAUACGUAGGGGGCGAGCAUUGUCCGGAAUUACUGGGCGUAAAGGGUACGUAGGCGGCUAUAUAAGUCAGGUGUGAAAUACCAGUGCUUAACACUGGAAUUGCAUUUGAAACUGUGUAGCUUGAGUGCAGGAGAGGAAAGUGGAAUUCCUAGUGUAGCGGUGAAAUGCGUAGAGAUUAGGAGGAACACCAGUGGCGAAGGCGACUUUCUGGACUGUAACUGACGCUGAGGUACGAAAGCGUGGGUAGCGAACA